Molecule: transfer RNA, 72 nt
Filed under: bacterium
Lineage: Bacteria
Description: tRNA-Ile
Rfam family: tRNA
About the family: Transfer RNA (tRNA) molecules are approximately 80 nucleotides in length. Their secondary structure includes four short double-helical elements and three loops (D, anti-codon, and T loops). Further hydrogen bonds mediate the characteristic L-shaped molecular structure. tRNAs have two regions of fundamental functional importance: the anti-codon, which is responsible for specific mRNA codon recognition, and the 3' end, to which the tRNAs corresponding amino acid is attached (by aminoacyl-tRNA synthetases). tRNAs cope with the degeneracy of the genetic code in two manners: having more than one tRNA (with a specific anti-codon) for a particular amino acid; and 'wobble' base-pairing, i.e. permitting non-standard base-pairing at the 3rd anti-codon position.
Source: RNAcentral
CGGCCCGUAGCACAAUGGCAGUGCACCAAGCUUAUAUCUUGGCGGUUGUAGGUUCGACUCCUACCGGGCCGA